Panicum virgatum (switchgrass) is the source of this 2303-nucleotide long non-coding RNA. RefSeq lists it as uncharacterized. NCBI's taxonomy places the organism in Eukaryota, Viridiplantae, Streptophyta, Magnoliopsida, Poales, Poaceae. The transcript is spliced from 7 exons. The record is from RefSeq and is a predicted model, not a curated record.
CCUCUCUCUCUCUCUCCCCCUCACUCUCUCUCUCCGGCGGCGGCACAAGCGGCGGCGGCGGCGGCGGCGACCUCGGCCCCAAUCCCGUCUCUCUGGAGACAAGCGCGGCGGCGUGUUCGCACCCAUGGCUUGAAAAGCUCCUCCUCCACAGCUGGCACCCUUCUCCACACGCGGCGGCGGCGGGAUUCCAGCGAGAUCCCGGCGUGCAAGCUACAACCGGGACUUAGGCCUCCUCCAUGGUGCCCCCGUCCUCAUGGAGAUGAGAUCCUGCUGGUGAAUCCCCAUCCUCUCAUCCCCUCCCCUUCCUCGUGCCCCUAACCCACAUAUCCGCUUUGCAGGAUGUGGUGUUGCAGGUGGAGCAGGGAGCAGGAGGAGCUCGUGCAGCUUAUGCAUGACUUGGAAGGAGAUUGAAGGGUAAUUUCUUGCUGUUCUUUUUCUUGCUUUAGACAGGAGUUGAAACAUUAACACACUUCUUUACCUGGAAGUACCAGUGCAGUUAAGAUAUUUGGAUUCUUACCUGUAGUACCAGUGCAUAGUCAUUUGUUUACAGCUAACAGUAAUAUUUUUUUCAAGCAAGCAGUUUGUGAAUAUAUUUAUUUGACCACUUCCUUUCCCUGGUCUCAAUUCUUCUUAUUCAAACCUUUUACGUUACAGCAGAAAUUUGUGAAUCAUUAAGUCACUAGCAAAAAGUAAACUUCUUUAGACAUGCUUCCUCUACUUCCCACAAACUUGUGGUAUGCCUGCAAGAACAUAUCCAUGAAACCAAGAAUCCAGCAACAUACAGCAGGUGGUAUUGUCAGUGUCAACUUUCUUCCAGACAUUCCAUUCUCCUAAGCACCUCUGGGCAACAAUAGACUAGACACGUUUUACUGCUUAUUAGUUUGAAUACCCUGUAGCUAUUAGUUUGAAUUCAGAAUAAGUCCCUUCCGAAUUCAAUUAUGCAGCUCCCUUGCUGCUGACCCAUGGUAUUGUUUUGGAGCAGAUGUCUUUCUGUCUACUCUGUCUCCUACUGUUAACUCUAUGAUCCAUUUAAGUAAAAGCUGGGAAUCCUUGUAAAAGGUUUUAAGCAUUUCUUGAGCGUGCAUAGUUGAAUCCCAUGUAGGCACUUGCAGCUGCAUCCGUUUUCUGAUCCUUUAAUCUUUUUCUAAUUCUAUUGCAAUCACAGAAGGUAUUCUAAAAUGUUGCAGAAAUUUCUUGAUCCAUGAGAAUGCCAACCUUGUUUCUAACAUGUUCUUGGGGAUGGGCCAGCCGGUGUGGAAGGAGGCGCACGCCACGCUCCAGAAUAUUAUAUCAAGUUUCUUUUCUUAUUCUUGCUUCUUUCUGCCACAAUAGGUCUUCAAUUUUUUAUAAAAUUGACAGUUUUGUGAUAAUAUGUAGGAUCCUGUCAAGAUUUUUUUUCUAAAAAAGUGCUUGUUUGCUCCCUGCAAAAUACCAAUUCAGGAUGAUACAUGUUCUCACUUUUAUUCCUAAGCUGUCAGGUCACUUCCAGAGUUUCAGUUAUUUUUGGUAUAGUAUUAUCAGCAAACACUGUAUGUAGAUAAACUGUGCUUUAAUCAGUGAUAAUUUUCCUUGAUUCACUAUAUUAUAUCUAUCACAAUACUUGUUGCUUUCAGGCUGUCAUUGUUGGUCCAGGGAAUGAAUUGGGGAAACCUAUCGAUGUUAAUAAUGUUGAAGACCAUAUUUUUGGCCUAGCUUUGAUGAAGGAUUGGAGUGACAGAGAUAUCCAGGCUUGGGAUACUAUACCUCUUGGAUCUUUCCUGAAAAGCUUCAUAAUCACUGGAUACUAGUCAUCAUAAUUCUUGACAUGAGCUUAGCGAUAGGCAUGGACUCAUUGAGGAAAGAUCUACAACUAUACAAAGACAUGAAUGACAUGUUGAAAAGGGUUUGGAAGAAAUUCAGUCAAAAUCAUAAAGGUGAUUUCAGCGACGAACAAAAAUUGAAGACAAACUUUUCGAUGCAUACUGGAAGAUGAUGUGCACAUUUCAUUUAUUUUAUUAUAUGGAUACUUUAUUACUUCUCUUCCCUUAAAGUAUAUGAUGCAGGCAUAGGGCAAUAAUUUAUAUGCAUACUAUGUUUGCGAGAACAUUCACAGUCUAGUAGGUUCUUCCAAGACGAAUACUAGUUGACAGAUGGAAAUCCAUGCGAUGUGAGAUCAGCUCAUACUAGAGGAAAGGGUUUGGCAAUGCAGAUUUAUUAUUGAGCGGGACAUUGUUGACUGUUGUUAAGUGCAAAAUAUAUGUUGCAACUCCUGCAUAAACACAUAAAGAAUGAAUACCAAUAGUAGUGGUAUGAGUUAUCACUAA